GACGAACGCUGGCGGCGCGCUUAACACAUGCAAGUCGAACGGAAAGGCCUGCUUUCCCUUGUGGACUGCGGGUACUCGAGUGGCGAACGGGCGAGUAACACGUGAGUGAUCUGCUCCCAACUUGGGUAUAAGCUUGGGAAACUGGGGCUAAUUCCCGACAGCACUGCAGGGUGGUGCCGGUGGUGGCGAACGAUUGUCUAGUGGUUGGGGCUGAGCUGGCGGCCUAUCAGCUUGUGGGUGGGGUAAUGGCCUACCAAGGCGGCGACGGGUAGCCGGCCAGGGGUGGUGGGCGGGAGAAUUGGGACUGAGAUACGGCCAAGGCGCCUACGGGAAGCAGCAGUGGGGAAGCAUGCGCGAUGGGCGGAGCACUGAGGCCGCGACGCCGAGUCAGCGAUGACGGGCUUGGGGUUGUGAACUCCGUUCGGCCACGAGGAAGCGCCCUGGUUGGAGGGGUGGUGACGGUAGUGGUAGAAGAAGCACCGGCUAACUACGUG
Molecule: ribosomal RNA, 494 nt
Filed under: uncultured bacterium
Lineage: Bacteria
Description: partial 16S ribosomal RNA
Rfam family: Bacterial small subunit ribosomal RNA
Source: RNAcentral